GUACCUGUAGCUCAAUUGGAUAGAGCAUUAGUUUGCGGAACUAAAGGUUGUCGGUUCGAUUCCGACCAGGUACG
This 74-nucleotide transfer RNA is filed under the name Candidatus Dojkabacteria bacterium. RNAcentral's name for it is "tRNA-Arg". It matches the Rfam family "tRNA". From Rfam's summary of the family: Transfer RNA (tRNA) molecules are approximately 80 nucleotides in length. Their secondary structure includes four short double-helical elements and three loops (D, anti-codon, and T loops). The record is from RNAcentral.